This 465-nucleotide ribosomal RNA is filed under the name Vreelandella stevensii. Its description in RNAcentral is "partial 16S ribosomal RNA". It matches the Rfam family "Bacterial small subunit ribosomal RNA", at positions 338 to 795 of the family's 1533-position model. The record is from RNAcentral. Lineage: Bacteria; Pseudomonadati; Pseudomonadota; Gammaproteobacteria; Oceanospirillales; Halomonadaceae.
CCUACGGGGGGCUGCAGUGGGGAAUAUUGGACAAUGGGGGGAACCCUGAUCCAGCCAUGCCGCGUGUGUGAAGAAGGCCCUCGGGUUGUAAAGCACUUUCAGUGAGGAAGAACGCCUGGUGGUUAAUACCCAUCAGGAAAGACAUCACUCACAGAAGAAGCACCGGCUAACUCCGUGCCAGCAGCCGCGGUAAUACGGAGGGUGCGAGCGUUAAUCGGAAUUACUGGGCGUAAAGCGCGCGUAGGUGGCUUGAUAAGCCGGUUGUGAAAGCCCCGGGCUCAACCUGGGAACGGCAUCCGGAACUGUCAAGCUAGAGUGCAGGAGAGGAAGGUAGAAUUCCCGGUGUAGCGGUGAAAUGCGUAGAGAUCGGGAGGAAUACCAGUGGCGAAGGCGGCCUUCUGGACUGACACUGACACUGAGGUGCGAAAGCGUGGGUAGCAAACAGGAUUAGAUACCCCAGUAGCC